RNAcentral lists this long non-coding RNA (3696 nucleotides) under Homo sapiens (human). RNAcentral describes it as "HSALNT0170429". Lineage: Eukaryota; Metazoa; Chordata; Mammalia; Primates; Hominidae. The record is from RNAcentral.
GCCUGCUGGGCACUGCCCUUUCUGAGCAUUGGGGACUGCCAGGGUGAAUCAGCAUUCAGGCUGGUGGGGCCAGCAUGGGGUGGGGCUAAUGCACAGGGGGCUGUAUGUGGGUGGAGGGAUCCAGAAAGAGUGUCCAGGGGAGCACCAGCAUUCACCAGGGCCCCACCAGGUGGGCAAAAGCAAGGGCUUCCGAGGUGGGGGUGGGGGUGGGCAGGAUCCUCUGCAAGGUGUCUGCGUGCGCCUGGGGCUCCUGGUGACUUCCCACGCCAGCAGGAGGAACAGUUUGGGGUGUGCUGAGGGACCCACCUGUGGACUUGCUGGGCUUUGAGAGGAACCAAGGCUGGGUGGCGGCGGGCAGGACAGGGGAAGAGGGUUCCGGGGCACAGAGGGCCAGACAGAUGCACCCAGCAGCUGGCAGCUCUGGCUGGAGAGGGGAAGAGGGCAGUGAGAAGCACGGCUGGCCCAUGGUACCUCCUGCCCCUCUGCCCUGCCCGCCUUCCCUCUGCCCUGCCCACCUUCCCUCUGCCCUGCCCGCCUUCCCUCUGCCUCUUCCCCUCUGGCCCGUGCUAUUUACUGUGUAUUGUUAAGUGAACUUGGAAGCCGUUUUUAAAACCUGCUCUCCACUAGGUAAGGUAUAAAAAAGACCAUCUGCAGACAGGGAGACCAUUUUUGCAACUUAAACGGUGGCUGUUCAGGGCCUCCCCCAGCAGCCCUGCCCCCGCACCUGCUCCCACUUGCUUCCCGCCCCGCUCCAACCUGCUUGUUGAAGAAGAGGCCAUGGGAGUUUCCAGAGUCCCCGAUUAAAGUGCAGGUGUCCUUGGGGACCUCAUCAGCCCAGGCACAGCCGCAGCAAGGCCUAGGACAUGCCCAGCUCGGGACGGCCCAGCCAGUCAGAUGGGGAGCUGGCUGUUUCUCAGCAAGACCCGUGCUGUUCUCCAUGACCAGAGAACCAAUCCACAACACCCGAACCCAGCCCAGGGCCCCUGGGAUCACAGGCAACAUAGCAGCCUCGCUUAGCAGGUUGUAAGCUCUCUCCUCCGAAGGCCAUUCCCAGGAUCUAAAGUCCUCAUUUCCUGGCUUGAAGUUAACCCUUGAGGUCCUAAUGUUGGAGAGAGGAAAAGCCUCCCCCAUGUUGAUCCAAACGGCUUGGCCAGACAUGGAUCUCUCUCAGAAGAACCCACGACCAAGGACGCUGGCACGUUCCUGGUGAGGUUCUCCACGAAGAGGUGCAGUGUGAAGUGGCCUGUCACAGAAUAAGAGUCCUAAAGCUUACGUUCCCAUAAAAGCCCCUGGCCUGGGAAGCAAACACAGACCGGGAGGCCCCUGCCUGGCCUGGGCAGCUCACACAGACUGGGAAGCACUUAAAAGCUGGAGGCCCCUGGAGCUGCUGGUCCACAGGGAGGUGAAGCUGCACUCCUGCCCUAGGGUCUUCCAGGGUGCCUGCUGUGGAGGUUGCUGGAGACGAGCCCACCACUCUAGGGUCCGGGCACCUGGAACACAGCAGGCACUCGGGCGCUUCCAGUCCAGGAGAGGCACCUCCCAGACGGCAGUCUUCUCUGAUUGCUUUCUGGAGUUUGAGUGCGGAGGAGGACGAGGUGAGGGAGGCAGCCGAGCUGUGUCCUGAUGCAUCUUCCAGAGGCACUCUGGGUGGACGCUGGGCCCCUUGGCCUUGCCAGGCUGGGGUCUCCCUUCACAGAGCCCAUGCUUGUGGGCCCCACAGCCAGACUAGCACCUUUCUGUCAACACAGCCAUGGACACCAUGAGAAACUCCCACAGUUAAACACUGCCCAGAGCCCCAGGCCACCUCCUGGGGUGUCAUUUUGUAAGGUACCUCACCAACCUCAUGAGAAGUCUUUGCUGUAGGGACUUAUUUAUUUUAAAUGAAUCAGGGUCUUGCUCUGUCGUGCAGGCUGGAGUGCAGUGGCACAAUCAUGGCUCACUGCAGCCUCAAAAACUCCUGGGAUUAAGCAAUCCUCCCACCUCAGCCUCCUGAGUAUCUGGUGGUGUUAGCCACCACAUCUGGCAGAUUUUUUACUUUUAGUAGAGACGGAAUCUCGCCAUGUUGCCUAGGCUGGUGUAGAACUCCUGGACUCGAGUGAUCCUCCCACUUCAGCCUUCCAAAGUGCUAGGAUUAUAGGCUUGAGCCACCAUGCCCUGCUUGUGGGUUUAUUUUUUAAUCUGACAGUUUUGCCAAACCUCAUACUAGAAGGCGGGGCUUCUGUUUGCUAAAAACACCAUGAUAUUUCAUCAUUAAACCAGUUGUUAUCCACAUCUGGGAUACUUGGAGAAAACCCUCUCAGGGUAUAUUCACAUUUCACGCCCAGCUUGCAAAGGCACCUUCAUGCCUUCUGCUCCCCGACCCUGACCUCCCACUCACCUAACGAGCAGGAGCUAGCCUGUGUCCAGAGCGGGGCGGGCGGUGGGGAGGGGGUAGGUAGGAAAGGUCCUGUGCUGCUCCCUCCAGGCAGAGACUCCUAGGGGAGACAGUGUGGUGGCCUGGGGCCCAGGGGCCUCCCUGCAAACUCUUUCCCCUCAAACCCUCCUCCUGGUGGGUGUGGCUAUGCAUUUGUCCCGACCCCUCCACAUGCAGAACCUGGCAUGAGCCCUGGGGCGUGGGGACAGACACGGAGUCCAGGUGACCUCAGGGUUGUCCUGAGCUGAGGUGUAGACCCCAGGCAGACCCACAGACAGAGUGGGGCUCUCCGAGGUGUGGUUGGAGGGCCGAGAGCAGAGCCCUGUGCUGGAUCUAGGGAGGCACUGGUGUGUCAGCAGGUGCAGCAGCGUGCAGCUGGGCUGGGCUGCGGGGCUCCUGUCCUUGCCCUCCUCCAGUGGCCAGGAGAGGCCAGGUGUUCGUGCUGUCCCCCACAGGAUGCCUGAGGGAGGAGGUGCAGGAAGGAGCAGGAUCCCCUGGGCUAGGGCUGGAGGGCGCUGGAGGCUGUCGCCUGCGUUCUCCCAGGUGCACAGAAAUGAACACCUUCUGGCUGAGAAAGGCUGACUGGGGGGCCUCUGGGCAGCCUGGGGCCUGAGGGGAGCAGAGCUUGCUGGGAGGGCCUCAUUCCUUCCCGGGUGGAGGGAGCAGCCAGGCAGCACCCUGACAGCUCCAGCCCUGGAUGGAGAGCAGCCCCCACACUGGGCUCCAGCCCUGAGGGGUCUCCCCAGCCUCCUGACCCCACGGAGGAACUGGUGAGUGUAGUGGGUGCAGGGCCAGCUUCCAACAGUGACAAGGGGGACCUGAGCCCAGCUGCCCCCAAGGCCUGGCCAGCACUUGGGGAAGUCCGGCAGGGUGUCCUUGAGGUCACGUGAACUCCGCUUCUGGCCUCACGCCCCAAGGCCCACGCCGGGUUCUGCGCUGUGUGUCCUGAGACCCGGACCGAGCGCAUGGGGCCUGAACGGCACCUUCCCUGGCCGGCUGCCCACGGACGUUUGUGGGCUUGGCCCUCCUGUUUUGGGCUCACUUGGGGUGCAGGACUCAGGGAUCCACACAGGAGAUGAGCCAGGCUUCCUUGAGGGAGCCAGGAGGGCCGGAGUUUUGGCCGAUUGCUUUCUCAGCCUGAGACGUUGCCCUGUAAUGCUAACCCUGUUGCCAUGGCCUGGCGUGGGACCUCCAGGGCCGGGCAGCUGCUUCCCUCAAUGAGAGCCCCCGAGCCCCUGCAGGCGGCUCCGUGGUGCGCCCCCUCACCCCCGCAUGAGCCCCCC